RNAcentral lists this long non-coding RNA (2850 nucleotides) under Struthio camelus australis. RNAcentral describes it as "lncRNA (ENSSCUG00000016761.1)". The record is from RNAcentral. Lineage: Eukaryota; Metazoa; Chordata; Aves; Struthioniformes; Struthionidae.
AAAGAUAUCUGUUCUGUCUGGCUGAGAAUUCUCUGCUCAGAUUCAGUGAGGAAGUGAUAAAAAAGAUGAAGACAUCCUCUAAAUAUUUCUGCUCACCUACUUUCUUCAAGUCACAUCAUUCACUAGUGACUUAGGCUGGUGAGAUGUAAAGGUUUCCUGGGGAAAAGAGUCCAUGAAGAAGUGUGUAUGUAAUGGCGAAGUAAAGAUAAUUUCUGAAAUGUCAUCUGUUUUCACCUUCCAGGCUGCCUUGUGUGCGCUUGUUAUUCUUGAAGCUCACAGUGACGUGACAACAAUAGACAAGAGAGUGUGUGACUCCGUUAUUUUUGAUCUUGACUGUCCCCGGUUGGACCAGCUCUCUCAGAUCACUUGGUACAAGGGAAAUAUGUCCUUAAAGCACUGGACACGUGGCGACACAGUGGUCAGCCAACGGAUUCACGUCUUUCCUAAUGGGGCGUUAGGGAUUCGCAGUGUAGGGAUUUUUUUUGGUGUGCAACAGCUCUGAGCACCUCCUUUACCAAAGAAUAUUUCAGCUACGUGUACACGCAGAGCACCUUGUCAGAAGACUUGUCGGUGACUGCUUUACUUUUGACCUGAACUGCCUGCUGCCAGACAGGUACAUCCAUAUCACCUGGAAGAAAGAUGAGCAGCGAGUGGCCAGGAUGAGAGGGCAGAGAAUAAACGUUUCUGUGAACUACCGCAACAGAGCCCGUGCGUUCCCGAACGGCAGCCUGACUCUGUGCCCCAUGCAAUGGGAGGACAAGGGCAAGUAUGUGGCGGAAAUAUUUGAUCAGGAUGGUGUGCAUUUGCAACAUGAAAUUAUUAACCUGGAACUGAACAAAAUGGAAACGUUUAAAGAAACCACAGAAUUUAUUGGUGGAUCCAUGUUCUUGAGCUUAACAGAGAUGAAGUUGAGACACUUCCAGGCAGUCUGGAAAAAAGAAAACACAGAAAUCGCUCGGAAAAAUGGCUUUCAUUUUUGGUACCAUGAGGACUACGUUAAGAGGUCUGAGAUCGUGUCUGAUUACAGUCUCAGACUAGACAGGAUUCAGGAAAGUGACCAUAGCAAUUAUUCUAUAGAAGUGAGUGACAGAGAUGGGAGAACAUUAUAUAAAAGCACCAUUCGUGUGAAAGUUGAGCAAAAGGAGACAUCCAGAAGAAAUUAUGUUCAAUUACUGUUCUACAGUCUCAUAACAUCACAGGCAGUUGUAAUUAUUAUUAUCUUGGUUGGGCUGAUAUGGCAUUUUAAGAAGUACAAAGACAAGUCAGUGUGGAUAAGAGUGUCAAGCUUUCGGCAUGUGAGUUCAAGCCUAACAGAGAGAGAUAAUCCUGAGAAACUUGAAGAAAUGGAUAAAAACAGUCCUUGUUCACAAAAUGAUGAAAACUCUAGUGUGCAGGGACUAGACGGUACAAACUCCACGGAGCAAAGAAGUGAAGGUUUACUGAGCAGCGACAAAGAGGCUAACCCAGCAAUAGCUGAAAGCUCCUACGCUCAGCAGACUACAUAUUUUCUUGCGUCCACAUUUCAAGAUGGAGAAAGACUCAAAUUGCCAGACCUCAAUAGUAUGAAAGCUGGAGAGCCUCCUGCUUCAGUUGGUGAAGUGUGUGUUGCCUCAGACUUUGAGAACAGCCCUCCAGGAUCUGAGGACAGCAUUCUUCCAGAAUUUGAUCACCCUCUUCCCCCAAUGUCUGAUGGGUGCCUUUCUCCAGAAUUUGAUCACUGCAGUCCUCCAGGGUCUGAGGAUUUGAAGGAAGAUGACUAUGUUGCUAUGCAUGAUAUAGUCUUUGUCUCUGCAGGAGCUGGAAAGGCACGGAAAUGGAGUGAAGAUGAGUUUACCUCGUAUGCUUCUGUCAAGUAGAAUGCAAAGGGACUUCCAGACGAUGAGUCUGGAGACUCAGUCUUCAGUUCUUCCCAUUCGAUUUGCCAGGAAAGACAUCUGCAGCAUUGAACUGAAAUUUGGACUCUCUCUUUCUCUCUUAGCAGGUUUUGAGCCAACCUUGAAAUUCUGCUGUUAGUUUCUCAUUUGGGUAAAUCUGAUUCUUUGUUCACUUUGAAGAUUUGGCUGGAAGCCUGAAGGGAAAUCUCUCUGUGGAUCAGUUUGUUUUCCACAGCGGGUGCCUAUCUCUUCCCUUUGUUUUGCUGAAGGUCUUCCAGGAUGACCCAUUAGGAGCCCCUUGGAAAGCAGGGGUGGGGGGGAAGGAAUUAUCCAGAGCCUCUCUUAUUUGCUUCCACUAGGAGGUGUCAUUGUAGAAAAGAGAAGGGCCUCGUGGAUUUCUGGAGGCCAGAUCAGGGCCCUGACCUCCAUCCUUGUCUCCUCCAGUGUGGAGGAUGCACCUGAGUGAAUGGUCAGGGGAAUAGCGCCAACACCACAGCAUCUCUGUGGACAUGGGCAUUUUAACCCUUUGUCUAAUACCUCAUGUCAAGAAAGCUGCAACUGAACUUGGUAGAUUUAGCAUAAAUUUCCCUCUGCUGUUUGGUUAGAAUAAUGUGCCACUUAGGUGGAAGUCAGCUGAAACUAUAUUAUGAGAAGGGAAUGGCACUGAAGAACAUGCAGCAGGUUUUACUUAGGGAUCUGCUAUUUUAGAAGAGGAAAAGGAAAAGGAAAGGAAAGAAACUAGAGCAUUGCUAGCAAAUGGGUUUAGCCGUAUAUGUAAUUGCCUUUAAUGAAUAGCCUUGGUAAUUAGAUGCAUUUUCUGCAAUGCCUGUAUUAAACUUAGUUAUCUUAACUGGUGUGUAAUUGUCUUCAUAGAUUGCUUUUAAAUCUUACAGAUUGCUUCUUUUAGGUUUGAUGAGCUAAUUUUUCGUAUAGAAUGUUGAAUAAAAGUAUUUUUUCUUAUUACUGAAAAGGUAUU